Long non-coding RNA from Macaca fascicularis (crab-eating macaque), 1813 nucleotides. NCBI's taxonomy places the organism in Eukaryota, Metazoa, Chordata, Mammalia, Primates, Cercopithecidae. The record is from Ensembl.
CUUGGAAGAAGCGAGAGAGACAUGCUGAGGUCUGGGGAAGGAGCACUGCAGGCCAGGGAAACUUGGGAUAGGCCCCAGGGCAGCAGGAGAGUGCUUGGCAGGUGUGGGGCAUAGGAAGGAGGGCAGGGUGGCCAGAGGAGAGGGCAAGGAAGAGAGGGGCAGAAGAUGAAGUCAGAUCGGCCAUGGGAAGUUGGCUUUUUCUCUGAAUCAAACAGGGAGCCACUGGAGGGUAUGAACAGAGGUAUGACAGGAUCUGUCUUAUGUUUUUAACAGAACAAAGUCUUUUGUGUUGAGGGCGGACAGUAGAGGGGCAGGGUAAAAUCAGGCAGACCACAUGGGAGGGUAUAGGCAUCAUUCCUCUAGCCCAGGAUAGGAGUGGUGGAGGUGACUUAAGGUUGCUGUGUACAGUUGAGUAGGUUGGGCAUAGCACAUCUAGGGUACCCACUCACAUGGAUGUGAUGGGACUGGCACUCUUAAGAGUUUUGCAGUGUGCAACAUGCAUAGCUGUGUGCAGUAACACUGUAAGAAGUGGGUACGAUUCUACGAAGGCAGGGAUUUCACUUUGCUCUAUGAUCUAACCCUAGUGCUUUAGAAGUGUCUGGCAGAGAGCAGGUACUCAAUAAAAAUGUGUUGUGUGAAUGAUAUGUCUGAUUCCACCUCCUGCAUUCUUGGAAAUGCAGUGUUGGCAGGUGAGUCAGUGAAAGCUAAAGUGUGUGUUGGCAGAUUGUGCAAAUGUCUCCAUUUGUCUUUGAUGGCCACUUUAAGUGUUUUGGUAUGAAAGCCUCUUUGUACCUUAGAACACUAUCAUUUCAUGUCAUCAAGAGCAAGCCAGUUUUUAUCAGCCUGCUUUGCCAAGAAGAAGGAAAAAUAAACUGUUCUAGUUUGUCAUCCCCUCCUCCCAAGCAUCACGUCUGAGUCACCUCUCACUCGCUGAUCUGUUCUGGCUGCAAUUAAAGUUAAAUCACCUUUGGGACCAGAACAGUCUCAUCUUUAUUUACAGCACCUGCAAAUCAAGCAGCUCCUCCUAAUUUUAACAGCUCCUUUAGUGGCAAAAGUCGCUUUUCAAAAGGAACAGGUGGAGAAGUGAUAAAGAAUGGUGAUGGAAGAUUUUCUUCUGGGGAUAGAAUGGAGAACAGGCCAGGAGAAAAGAGCCAAUUUGUGCUGUGGCAGCGGAUGCCCCACACAUUCUGGGCUCAAGUCUGGGUACUGCCUUUUAUCAGCUGCAUGACCUUGAACAGGUCAAGGGAACUUGCUGAGCCUCAGGUACCUUAGCAAUAAUGUGACAGGUGGGGACAGUUCCUGGCCAGCCAUUUCAGAGGACUAAAUAAACCCAAAGAAGAUAACGUAUGAGAAAGUUCUUGGCCAGGCGUGGUGGCUCAUGCCUGUAAUCCCAGCACUUUGGGAGGCCAAGGUGGGCGAAUCACGAGGUCAAGAGAUUGAGAUCAUCCUGGCCAACAUGGUGAAACCCCAUCUCUACUAAAAAUACAAAAAUUAGCUGGGUGUAGUGGCGCACGUCUGUAGUCCAGCUACUUCGGAGACUGAGGCGGGAGAAUUGCUUGAACCUGGGAGGCAGAGGUUGCAGUGAGCCGAGAUUGCGCCACUGCUGUCCAGCCUGGGUGACAGAGUGAGACUCUGUCUCAAAAAAAGAAGAAAAAAAAGAAAAAGGAAAGAAAUAAAGAACAGAAAAAGAAAGAAAUAGCAUACAGGAAUAAGUUAAACAUUUGCAGACAACAUAAUGUUUACAAAGAAAAUUCCAAGGAAUCUACAAAAGCACUCCUAGAACUAAUAAGUUCAGCAAAAAAAAAAAAAAAAA